RNAcentral lists this ribosomal RNA (440 nucleotides) under uncultured bacterium. Its description in RNAcentral is "partial 16S ribosomal RNA". It matches the Rfam family "Bacterial small subunit ribosomal RNA", at positions 338 to 795 of the family's 1533-position model. The record is from RNAcentral.
CCUACGGGAGGCAGCAGUGGGGAAUAUUGGACAAUGGGGGAAACCCUGAUCCAGCGACGCCGCGUGAGGGAAGAAGUAUUUCGGUGCGUAAAGCUCUAUCAGCAGGAAAGAAAAUGACGGUACCUGACUAAGAAGCACCGGCUAACUACGUGCCAGCCGCCGCGGUAAUACGUGGGGGGCAAGCGUUAUCCGGAUUUACUGGGUGUAAAGGGGUGGUAGGCGGGAGCGAAAGUCUGGAGUGAGAUGCCGGGGCCCAACCCCCGAACUGCUCUGGAAACUGUGGAGCUGGAGUGCAGGAGAGGUAAGCGGAAUUCCUGGUGUAGCGGUGAAAUGCGUAGAUAUCAGGUGGAACACCGGCGGCGAAGGCGGCUUACCGGACUGUAACUGACGUUGAGGCUCGAAGGCGUGGGGAGCAUACAGGAUUAGAUACCCGUGUAGUC